This 460-nucleotide ribosomal RNA is filed under the name uncultured bacterium. RNAcentral's name for it is "partial 16S ribosomal RNA". It matches the Rfam family "Bacterial small subunit ribosomal RNA", at positions 338 to 795 of the family's 1533-position model. The record is from RNAcentral.
CCUACGGGAGGCAGCAGUGAGGAAUAUUGGUCAAUGGGCGGGAGCCUGAACCAGCCAAGUCGCGUGAGGGAAGACGGUCCUAUGGAUUGUAAACCUCUUUAGGCGGGGAGCAAUGCCGGGCACGCGUGCCCGGAGGGAGAGUACCCGCAGAAUAAGCAUCGGCUAACUCCGUGCCAGCAGCCGCGGUAAUACGGAGGAUGCGAGCGUUAUCCGGAUUUAUUGGGUUUAAAGGGAGCGUAGGCGGGGAUGCAAGUUGGGUGUCAAAACUACCGGCUCAACUGGUAGUCGCACUCAAAACUGCAGCUCUUGAGUGAAGUAGAGGCAGGCGGAAUUCCUAGUGUAGCGGUGAAAUGCGUAGAUAUUAGGAGGAACACCAGUGGCGAAGGCGGCCUGCUGGGCUUUUACUGACGCUGAGGCUCGAAAGUGUGGGGAGCAAACAGGAUUAGAUACCCGAGUAGUC